Molecule: ribosomal RNA, 120 nt
Filed under: Triticum aestivum (bread wheat)
Lineage: Eukaryota; Viridiplantae; Streptophyta; Magnoliopsida; Poales; Poaceae
Source: RNAcentral
GGAUGCGAUCAUACCAGCACUAAAGCAUCGGAUCCCAUCAGAACUCCGAAGUUAAGCGUGCUUGGGCGAGAGUAGUACUGGGAUGGGUGACCUCCUGGGAAGUCCUCGUGUUGCAUUCCC